This 1367-nucleotide ribosomal RNA is filed under the name uncultured bacterium. RNAcentral describes it as "bacterial SSU rRNA". It matches the Rfam family "Bacterial small subunit ribosomal RNA". The record is from RNAcentral.
AGAGUUCGAUCCUGGCUCAGGACGAACGCUGGCGGCGCGCCUAACACAUGCAAGUCGAACGAGCGAGAGAGAGCUUGCUUUCUCAAGCGAGUGGCGAACGGGUGAGUAACGCGUGAGGAACCUGCCUCAAAGAGGGGGACAACAGUUGGAAACGACUGCUAAUACCGCAUAAGCCCACAGCUCGGCAUCGAGCAGAGGGAAAAGGAGCAAUCCGCUUUGAGAUGGCCUCGCGUCCGAUUAGCUAGUUGGUGAGGUAACGGCCCACCAAGGCAACGAUCGGUAGCCGGACUGAGAGGUUGAACGGCCACAUUGGGACUGAGACACGGCCCAGACUCCUACGGGAGGCAGCAGUGGGGAAUAUUGCACAAUGGGGGAAACCCUGAUGCAGCGACGCCGCGUGGAGGAAGAAGGUCUUCGGAUUGUAAACUCCUGUUGUUGAGGAAGAUAAUGACGGUACUCAACAAGGAAGUGACGGCUAACUACGUGCCAGCAGCCGCGGUAAAACGUAGGUCACAAGCGUUGUCCGGAAUUACUGGGUGUAAAGGGAGCGCAGGCGGGAAGACAAGUUGGAAGUGAAAUCUAUGGGCUCAACCCAUAAACUGCUUUCAAAACUGUUUUUCUUGAGUAGUGCAGAGGUAGGCGGAAUUCCCGGUGUAGCGGUGGAAUGCGUAGAUAUCGGGAGGAACACCAGUGGCGAAGGCGGCCUACUGGGCACCAACUGACGCUGAGGCUCGAAAGUGUGGGUAGCAAACAGGAUUAGAUACCCUGGUAGUCCACACCGUAAACGAUGGUUACUAGGUGUUGGAGGAUUGACCCCUUCAGUGCCGCAGUUAACACAAUAAGUAAUCCACCUGGGGAGUACGACCGCAAGGUUGAAACUCAAAGGAAUUGACGGGGGCCCGCACAAGCAGUGGAGUAUGUGGUUUAAUUCGACGCAACGCGAAGAACCUUACCAAGUCUUGACAUCCUGCGACGCACAUAGAAAUAUGUGUUUCCUUCGGGACGCAGAGACAGGUGGUGCGUGGUUGUCGUCAGCUCGUGUCGUGAGAUGUUGGGUUAAGUCCCGCAACGAGCGCAACCCUUACUGUCAGUUACUACGCAAGAGGACUCUGGCAGGACUGCCGUUGACAAAACGGAGGAAGGUGGGGAUGACGUCAAAUCAUCAUGCCCUUUAUGACUUGGGCUACACACGUACUACAAUGGCGUUAAACAAAGAGAAGCAAGACCGCGAGGUGGAGCAAAACUCAGAAACAACGUCCCAGUUCGGACUGCAGGCUGCAACUCGCCUGCACGAAGUCGGAAUUGCUAGUAAUCGUGGAUCAGCAUGCCACGGUGAAUACGUUCCCGGGCGUGUACACACCGCCCGU